CACGUAGGGUGCGAGCGUUGUCCGGAAUUAUUGGGCGUAAAGAGCUCGUAGGCGGUGUGUCGCGUCGGCCGUGAAAACCUGCAGCUUAACUGUGGGCUUGCGGUCGAUACGGGCAUCACUGGAGUUCGGCAGGGGAGACUGGAAUUCCUGGUGUAGCGGUGAAAUGCGCAGAUAUCGGGAGGAACACCGGUGGCGAAGGCGGUUCUCUGGGCCUUACCUGACGCUGAGGAGCGAAAGCAUGGGGAGCGAACAGGG
This 255-nucleotide ribosomal RNA is filed under the name uncultured bacterium. RNAcentral's name for it is "partial 16S ribosomal RNA". It matches the Rfam family "Bacterial small subunit ribosomal RNA", at positions 524 to 777 of the family's 1533-position model. The record is from RNAcentral.